UUUCCAAUUUCGAAUUUAACCCACUGUCCAAUAUCUAAUUCAAAGUUUUAAUAAUCAAAAAGUCUUUAAAAAAAGCUAAAAUGUUUCCUGCAUUUCUAAUUAUUUAUGCAUAUUUGUAUGUUAUGCAUUUACAAAAAAUGCUUUUGAUUUAUGCUUUGUGUCUGUGUCAUAUUUAUAUACUUAAAUUUUUAAAUUAGUGUUUUCUGGCUUUAUGUACUAGGGUCUAUGCUGAAAUUUCUCAGUGUACCUACAGCUGCAGAGACAUUUGAUGCUGCUACAUCUGGAAUUAUUCAUAGUACUCCUGGGCCAUCUACUGAUCCUAAGGUGAAACUUCAGUCUUCACUCCAACCGAGGAUUGCAUACUGGAUUGCACUACUUGCACUGACUGUGUCAUAUGAUGAGGGCCCCACAACCCUUCAAGCCGGCACUGGUCAUGAUGGUCAGACAGCAGGUGGAUUAUGAUGAUCGGAUGUUACCUGGAGCUGGCAGAAACUGGACAUAUCAAAGAAGCUAACACUGAAGAGACAUCUGAUGCUGCCGAGUCCAAAAUGGUGCAAAAAUGGAGAUGUAUGAAAAAUGGUGUAUGUUUGGUUCCACCUGAUAAAAGCACAUAAUAGCCAGAUUCGGAGGGUAAUUGGUUCUCAUGGUGACGUAAGCAAUUAUCAACAUUUACAGGGAUUAGUCUGUGAUUUUAUUGCCAUCUGAAUCCAGAAUGUUAUUGUUUUUCACCCACCAUCCUAAUAAAAAUCCCCAGCUGAAUUACCAAGGUCAUGUGGUAAUUUAAUUGCUGUCCAAAUCCACAUCUCUCUGAAUAAUUUGUUUCAAAAUUAACUGUUUAAAUCCAUUUUCACCACCAUUUAACACUAUAUACUAACUGUUGUACUUCGCAUGCAUAUUACUGAAAAAAAGAAUACUGAAAUGCUAGAAAGUAUUUACAAGAAUAAUAUUUCAUAACUGCUCCAUCACAUGCUCCCUUUAAGAAGAAAAAG
Cyprinus carpio carpio is the source of this 989-nucleotide long non-coding RNA. The record is from Ensembl. Lineage: Eukaryota; Metazoa; Chordata; Actinopteri; Cypriniformes; Cyprinidae.